CCCGGCACGGAUGCCGGAAAACUUUAUGUAACCGAGUUUGGCGAAGACAAACUCGAGGUAAAAAACGUACAGGGAUGUACGUUUUUUACACCUU
Molecule: small RNA, 94 nt
Filed under: Treponema maltophilum ATCC 51939
Lineage: Bacteria; Pseudomonadati; Spirochaetota; Spirochaetia; Treponematales; Treponemataceae
Description: TD-2 RNA
Rfam family: TD-2 RNA
About the family: non coding RNA found in Treponema denticola
Source: Rfam by way of RNAcentral